This is a long non-coding RNA of Corvus hawaiiensis (hawaiian crow), 578 nucleotides long. RefSeq lists it as uncharacterized. Lineage: Eukaryota; Metazoa; Chordata; Aves; Passeriformes; Corvidae. The transcript has 2 exons. The record is from RefSeq and is a predicted model, not a curated record.
GCCGGGGGUCAGCCUGCCGGGGGUCGGUCAGCCUGCCGGGGGUCGGUCAGCCUGCCGGGGGAUCCGAUAAGGUUUGACAGACAAAUCUAAAAGAAUAGAUUAAACGAUUUUGUUGGAAUAAAAGAUACUGGAUUUUCUUACCUCUGAAUGAGAACUGAGGUGAAUAUGUGCAACUCAACUGUUUUCUGCUUUCAAAGACAAUUCUAUUUAAUUUGUUGAGAUUAAAAGUAUUGACUUGAAAGUAUUAGUUCAAAAAUUGAAAAUCUUGGCUUUUAAAACAAAUUACAGAACUUUACAUCCUGCUGUAGAGCUCGCCUUUGCAGGGCUGGUUCCUUUCAUCGCAGGGCAGCGGUCCCGGCUCACAGCCUCGGCCCGCUGGACUGUGUCCCGGCUCGGAUUCCAGCAGUGGGGAAUGUUCGUGCGACCGGUCUGACUCCGAUGCCUUUCUCCACAGGAGGGCGGAGUAUGAACAGGCGUCCGCAGGGUGGUGACUGUCCUACACAGGCAGAAGGAGCUGCCUUUCUGAAAUGUUUCCAAAUGUUCCUGAAAGUCAACAAAUAAAAAUUAUGAAUGCCAAA